RNAcentral lists this long non-coding RNA (299 nucleotides) under Malus domestica (apple). RNAcentral describes it as "long non-coding RNA (MDOM_LNC013991)". The record is from RNAcentral. Lineage: Eukaryota; Viridiplantae; Streptophyta; Magnoliopsida; Rosales; Rosaceae.
GAUAAAAAAAUUUAGAUAUUGAAAACAAAGAAUGAAAACACCUAAAAACGCUCUAACAAUCCAACUUGAAUGGCAAGCACGUCCAAGGGUCCUCCUUCUUCUCUUUGUUGCGGCACAAGGUGUGGUUUUAUGGAUGAGUGGUAAAUUAUGGUGGUGGAUGGAUAUAGGUGAGUUAUGGUGAAGGGUGGAUGGGUGGAUUGUGUUCUCUCGGCCAAGGAAUGAAAGUGUAAGUGUAUGGAGUUGUGAGAUGUGAAUGUAGUGUCUUUUGAUGGAUCUUUUUCUCCUUUGUUAUGGUGAAG